This 203-nucleotide long non-coding RNA is filed under the name Homo sapiens (human). Its description in RNAcentral is "LNC_000554". Lineage: Eukaryota; Metazoa; Chordata; Mammalia; Primates; Hominidae. The record is from RNAcentral.
UGGGUAUCAUACAGAAGGAACAUGCUGAAAAGAACUAAUCCACCGUACAUUGCCACUGAGUAAAGAGUGGCACCAGCCACGGUGGUAGGUGGAAGAAACAUAGAUCCCAAUGAGGACACAAAGACGAGACCCAGGCCCACUCCCAGGGGUGCACCCAUGUUCAGAAACUUUUCACUGGGCGCACACAUGGCCACAGUGGAGAG